Molecule: ribosomal RNA, 578 nt
Filed under: uncultured bacterium
Lineage: Bacteria
Description: bacterial SSU rRNA
Rfam family: Bacterial small subunit ribosomal RNA
Source: RNAcentral
GAGUUUGAUCCUGGCUCAGGAUAAACGCUGGCGGCGCACAUAAGACAUGCAAGUCGAACGGACUUAAUCAGUUUGUUUACAAAUUGAAGCGGUUAGUGGCGGACUGGUGAGUAACACGUAAGCAACCUGCCUAUUAGAGGGGAAUAACAGUGAGAAAUCACUGCUAAUACCGCAUAUGCCAUAAUCACCACAUGGUGGAAGUGGGAAAGGAGAAAUCCGCUAAUAGAUGGGCUUGCGUCUGAUUAGCUAGUUGGUGGGGUAGAGGCCUACCAAGGCGACGAUCAGUAGCCGGACUGAGAGGUUGAACGGCCACAUUGGGACUGAGAUACGGCCCAGACUCCUACGGGAGGCAGCAGUCGGGAAUAUUGCGCAAUGGAGGAAACUCUGACGCAGUGACGCCGCGUAUAGGAAGAAGGUUUUCGGAUUGUAAACUAUUGUCGUUAGGGAAGAAAAAAGACAGUACCUAAGGAGGAAGCUCCGGCUAACUACGUGCCAGCAGCCGCGGUAAUACGUAGGGAGCAAGCGUUAUCCGGAUUUAUUGGGUGUAAAGGGUGCGUAGACGGGAAUUUAAGUUAGUU